UACGUAGGGGGCAAGCGUUGUCCGGAAUCAUUGGGCGUAAAGAGCGCGUAGGCGGUCCGGUAAGUCCGCUCUGAAAGUCCGGGGCUCAACCCCGGGAGGCGGGCGGAUACUGUCGGGCUAGAGUCCGGAAGAGGCGAGUGGAAUUCCCGGUGUAGCGGUGAAAUGCGCAGAUAUCGGGAGGAACACCAAUGGCGAAGGCAGCUCGCUGGGACGUGACUGACGCUGAGACGCGAAAGCGUGGGGAGCAAACAGG
Molecule: ribosomal RNA, 253 nt
Filed under: uncultured bacterium
Lineage: Bacteria
Description: partial 16S ribosomal RNA
Rfam family: Bacterial small subunit ribosomal RNA
Source: RNAcentral